This 253-nucleotide ribosomal RNA is filed under the name uncultured bacterium. RNAcentral's name for it is "partial 16S ribosomal RNA". It matches the Rfam family "Bacterial small subunit ribosomal RNA", at positions 524 to 776 of the family's 1533-position model. The record is from RNAcentral. RNAcentral also lists the same sequence under 2 other names.
UACGGAGGAUCCAAGCGUUAUCCGGAUUUAUUGGGUUUAAAGGGUGCGUAGGUGGGAUGAUAAGUCAGAGGUGAAAGCUAGCAGCUUAACUGUUAAAUUGCCUUUGAUACUGUUAUUCUUGAGUAUAGUUGGCGUUGGCGGAAUGUGACAUGUAGCGGUGAAAUGCGUAGAUAUGUCACAGAACACCGAUCGCGAAGGCAGCUAACGAAACUAUCACUGACACUGAUGCACGAAAGCGUGGGGAGCAAACAGG